RNAcentral lists this ribosomal RNA (289 nucleotides) under Escherichia coli. Its description in RNAcentral is "partial 16S ribosomal RNA". It matches the Rfam family "Bacterial small subunit ribosomal RNA", at positions 486 to 774 of the family's 1533-position model. RNAcentral also lists the same sequence under 1 other name. Lineage: Bacteria; Pseudomonadati; Pseudomonadota; Gammaproteobacteria; Enterobacterales; Enterobacteriaceae. The record is from RNAcentral.
AGAAGCACCGGCUAACUCCGUGCCAGCAGCCGCGGUAAUACGGAGGGUGCAAGCGUUAAUCGGAAUUACUGGGCGUAAAGCGCACGCAGGCGGUUUGUUAAGUCAGAUGUGAAAUCCCCGGGCUCAACCUGGGAACUGCAUCUGAUACUGGCAAGCUUGAGUCUCGUAGAGGGGGGUAGAAUUCCAGGUGUAGCGGUGAAAUGCGUAGAGAUCUGGAGGAAUACCGGUGGCGAAGGCGGCCCCCUGGACGAAGACUGACGCUCAGGUGCGAAAGCGUGGGGAGCAAACA